AGAGUUUGAUCCUGGCUCAGAGCGAACGCUGGCGGCAGGCUUAACACAUGCAAGUCGAACGGGCUUCUUCGGAAGUCAGUGGCAGGCGGGUGAGUAACACGUGGGAACGUGCCCUUCGGUUCGGAAUAACUCAGGGAAACUUGAGCUAAUACCGGAUACGCCCUUACGGGGAAAGGUUUACUGCCGAAGGAUCGGCCCGCGUCUGAUUAGCUUGUUGGUGGGGUAACGGCCUACCAAGGCGACGAUCAGUAGCUGGUCUGAGAGGAUGAUCAGCCACACUGGGACUGAGACACGGCCCAGACUCCUACGGGAGGCAGCAGUGGGGAAUAUUGGACAAUGGGCGCAAGCCUGAUCCAGCCAUGCCGCGUGAGUGAUGAAGGCCUUAGGGUUGUAAAGCUCUUUUGUCCGGGACGAUAAUGACGGUACCGGAAGAAUAAGCCCCGGCUAACUUCGUGCCAGCAGCCGCGGUAAUACGAAGGGGGCUAGCGUUGCUCGGAAUCACUGGGCGUAAAGGGCGCGUAGGCGGCCGAUUAAGUCGGGGGUGAAAGCCUGUGGCUCAACCACAGAAUUGCCUUCGAUACUGGUUGGCUUGAGACCGGAAGAGGACAGCGGAACUGCGAGUGUAGAGGUGAAAUUCGUAGAUAUUCGCAAGAACACCAGUGGCGAAGGCGGCUGUCUGGUCCGGUUCUGACGCUGAGGCGCGAAAGCGUGGGGAGCAAAC
RNAcentral lists this ribosomal RNA (721 nucleotides) under uncultured bacterium. Its description in RNAcentral is "bacterial SSU rRNA". It matches the Rfam family "Bacterial small subunit ribosomal RNA", at positions 8 to 773 of the family's 1533-position model. The record is from RNAcentral.